Cuculus canorus (common cuckoo) is the source of this 4508-nucleotide long non-coding RNA. RefSeq lists it as uncharacterized. NCBI's taxonomy places the organism in Eukaryota, Metazoa, Chordata, Aves, Cuculiformes, Cuculidae. The record is from RefSeq and is a predicted model, not a curated record. The transcript is spliced from 4 exons.
AGCUCAGUUUGAGUUCAUGUGGAAGCCAGAAUUAAAAAUUCAGCCCACUGGAUUCAGGUGUAAAUGGAUUAAAACCAGUGGAGCAAAGACUCUACUGCUUUUGGGAGUUUUGCACAGUUCUACAAGCUAUGAGGAUACUGCUCAAGAACUUUGAGAAAAUAUGUUUUAAAUAACUGCAAAAUACUAAUAUGUCUGUUUCACCAUUAGACAUUCGUUUUUCUUCCUUUCUAUGGUCUCUGGUCUAAGCUACUCGUCAGCGACACAUGGCAAGAGGUGGGCACCUCCAGAGAGCAACCCUUCCCAUCUGAAGACAAGAUCAAAGACAGAGAAGAUGAAGUAUCCCUGGGAUUACCUUUUGACUAUGGAGAAAGCUUUUAUUCCUCGGUUGGCAAAUAGAGUUACAGUCACCCUGCCUAGCAUGAAGAUGCCACCUAUGCUGCUUGCAGGAUUGUCACUAGCAUGGAUGACCUCUCUAUUGAGAUGCCAUGGAGGAACUGCCCUACUCUGGGAAGAUGCUUCAAAGCAAUGUUCAAAGAAAAUGAGCUGUGUGCCUGGGGAAGGCUGCUAGGCUCAGUAGAAAGACUACAAAAAGAAGACGAUAUAUUUCCUUAUUUUUAUCCAUGCUAUUCUUAUUUCCCACAUCCUGACCCACCUUUUAACUACUGUGUUUAUAGCUGGAUUGAAAUUAUUUGGUUUGUUGAUUUUUUUUUUUACUUGAGGAGACAGACGUCCCUUACAUCAUACUAGACAGACUGACGCUGAGUGAGAUUUCUGCAGACUGGCCCACAGGCACCGCUGCCUUGCCUUUUUUCAGGGUGAAUGUUAGCAUGGCAUUGCUCAGUUUGACAUUGCUUGCAGUAGCAAGAAAUGUCUGUCUUGUCAGUCUAAAAUUAGAUAGUAAAUUGAUUUCUGACACUCCUCAUGACCUGUGUUCUUAACAAGGCUGUUAAACCCCAUGGGUAGCUUGCCCUCAGAUUAUCCACAUCACAACUAGGUCCCAAAGCUUGAGCUGGGGAUACUUGUUGGAGGGUAAACUUUUGGACUUGUCAGUGGGCAGCCUGUCCAAACAGUAUGGGAUGGUAGGGUUGCACAAAGCUAUGUCACAUUGUGGGGAAACUCCUUAUUAAUAGGCACCAGAGGUCUGCUCAAGCCCAUAUACAAGACGACACUAGCUGGGAGGUGGGCAGUAGGCAGUCAGGUAGUAGGUAUCCAGGCAGUAGGUAUGGACCCAUCUGUCCCUUGCUUUGCAGGCAGCGUAUAACCCGUGGGGAUGCACAGCCAAGGCAGGUAUUAAACAUCACUGUAGAAACUGAAUAGGGUUCUGCAGGUUGAGAAGAGAUCAUGCUGGCCACAAAUAAUUCCUCCCUCCAUCUCUUCCAGAAAUGCUUUCCCUCCAGUGGUGGAGCAGGCUAACACCGCCUGGGGAGUCCCUGUUCUUUGUGGUCUGGGAAGGAGGAAGUGAGCUGUGCUGUCCACAUGCUAUAGCCCUCAUAAAGCUCAAAAACAGCACCAGUGCUCCAUGCUUUUAGCUGUAACUGUUGAUGAUGCUGUCCCCAGUUUCAUUUGCCAUGCUUAUGGUUUUGAGAAGCAACAGUGAGUCAUUAAGUCCCUGGAAGUUGGAGAUUCUACAGGGGAGAACAGAGAUGGUGAUGAUGAUAAUAAUAAUAAUAGUAAUAAUAAUAAUAAUGUAGCUUCCACAAAGCUGUUUGUGAAAGCAGUUCAACACUUUGCCCUUGAGCUACUCCUGCAAACAAAAUUUCCAGCAUGUAUUCUUCCCUUUUGAACUUCUAAUGGAGUGUUGAGCCAGCGAGACAGAUGGGAAGUUCGAGUUUCUCCCUGCACAAUGGCAGCAGUGUCUGUGCUGUCAAAAUUAACUCUGAAUUUUUUCCUGUUUGUGCUGGAAAAAAGAUCUUUCUAACCUUUGAAAAAUAUACGGUGUGCUCAGAGGUCUUAUGUUCCUCCUCUGGUCUAGUUCAAACAAAGCUGAUUCAAAAAUUCAAUUUUAAUGUCAUUCAGAUAGCCAGUGAUAUUCAAAUAUUGGCAUCAUGAAAGUAUGUUUUAACUACACAAUCUCAAGGUGUGUGGAAGGAUAAGCACAGUGGGUCACUGCUUAGCUAAUGAGUGGCUGGGCAUUGUAUAAAAACCUGAAAAGAAGCAUCAGCCUCACUCUAUAGAUAUUUCCAGAUGAGAUUGACACAAUAUUUGCUGAUACUGGCACUUUUCCAGGUAGUGCCUGCUCUGGGUUGCACUUACCUAAGGAAUUUCACCAAGCUCUGUGGGAUUUUACAACUGAAAGGAAGGACAGUGUCCAGUCCGUUUUCUUACACCCUUAAUUGAUGUUGAAUAGAGGAUUUUGUGAUUCAUUUAUCAGCCAAUGCAUAAACUGCAUCAAAACAUCAAAUAUGUGAAUUGGCACUUUUUGACCUGAGCUGUUGGACGAAGAAGGUCUGUACAGGUUUGUAAUAUCCAUUUUAACCUCUCUGCCUUUGAUGGUAAUAGCACAUGUUCAGCGUAAGCCCAGUUUUUUAAAUAUAAGUGAUUCCCUUGAGGAUCUGUUCUAAAAACCUCCGAUUUCUCAGUGAUGGAAAGCAAUGUUUUUCUCUUUAAGGGAAGGAGGGAGGCAGGUAAGGAGGAGUGUGUACUGUGCUUCUUGGAUAUGGAAGACACAUGUAAAUGCAAGAUGCCAUUCAUCAUUAUUUGAUAUAUAGCAAAAUACAGUAAUUUCAUUUAGCAGCAGGUUUUAAGAAGAUUAAACAUGCUAGGAAAAUUGUUUUAAAAUAACAAUGUAGCAGGAUAUUGUAAAUUAUUUUGCAGUGGGCUGUCAUGCCAUGUCACCAUAAUUCUUCAAAAUUUAAUUAAAACCCACAACAACUUAAUAUUCAAGCCCUGUCAAGAAAACUAAUUGUACACAGGGACCAGCUGCUGGAGAAGUUUAGAUGUCAACUUCAAAUGGUAAUGUGAGUGGUUCACACUGUCUUGUGGGUACCCAUUUAAAACUCUUGCUCACCAUGGACUUAUGGAGAAUGCAGGUUUUGUUUAUAAUAAAGUCUUGGCAUUUUAGCCAGAAAAGAUUCAUCUUUAAUGACAAGAUAUACUAAUCCUAUUUAACUAGAGAUUGUUUUUUUUUAAAGGAAUUCUCAGUUUAAUGCUCCGUGAUAGAAAAAAAGGGAAAGAUGAUACCCGCCAGGGUCCAUGAUUUUAGACACCUCUGCUUCUGAAUACUCAACAGACCCCCCCUUUCCUGCCUGCCUCUUUUAAGACUCUCCUAUGGCUUAAUCCUACGAGUACCAGAACUGCUUGCAGACACAAAGAGCAUCAAGAUAUCUCAUGACACGCAGCAAGGAAAUGCCUUUCCUGACUGGGAACAUGACCUGAACAAUGGCAGGAGUGCUGGUCCUGGGACUUGCUUCCAGCAUCUCUGAAACAGUGAAGGAUCUCAGGCUGGCCUCUUGAGAUUGUUUUUCCAGUGCUGGUGCAAUUUUACAGAGUACCUACAGAGAGAAGAGUGGCCUCACUCUCUCCCCAUUUCCACUAUUCAGUCUCCUCCUCAGAAGAUUUACUUGUGAUUUACCCUUGUAGAAGUGAGAAGAGAUUCAAGCUGCGCUCAUGCAAUUAUAGCAAACAGAGGAGAGAAGCCGGUAGAAAUAAGUCAGAGGAUUUUGGGACUGGGGCUAUUUCUGUGCAGCUGUGCUCCCUGCUCAGUUGUGUAAACUGCUCCAGAGUGAGACAAAGCGGAUGUAGUUGCUCUGGAGUCAGACCAAUUUAAGCCAGGACUGCUUUUCAACUCAUAACAACAACCCCGCCUUGUACAGUAUUUAAAUACAAGCUUUACUCCCGACAAAUUCAUUGCCACUUCCUUAAAUGUUUUUCUGAAGCAGGUCCUUGGUUUGAUACCAUUUUAUACAUGAUGUCAAAGUUAAUAAGCAUCAGGCCCAUGACACAACCGUGUGAGAAUUACCCAUUUGUAGAGAUCUAGAAAUGUAAUUUAUAAUUCAAGUCUUUCAAGCAAAAUAUAAUUGUCCAGUUUUAUACUGCUGCUUGGGAGAAAACAAAAGUGGAUUAUGUGUUUGUGUCCUUCGUGCUUUUUGGCUUUAUGUCUUUUUUCUUUAUAAAUUGCUCCAGGAUUUCAGGGGAUAGAAAUCCUCCUGGUGCUGUAGAAUGCUUCCUACAAAGAAAAGCCUUGCACCCUGCUGUAGCUGUGGGCUUUUGUGGAAGUGGUGUGCUACCUUCAGGCUCCAUCUAUGGUCCUGCUCACCCUGAGUGCCUAUCAAAUACAUGUUAACUUCAUACCCUGGGAGAGGGAUUGAUGACGGAUGAUCUCUGGCCAGAGAGAUCUCUGCUUUCUGGUCACUUGAGUUGCCUUGCCAGUGAGGCUGCAUUUCUGUUGACUCAGUUAAUGAGGAUCAGCAUUACGAAACGCAUGGCAGGGAUUCAGUAUACAUUACCAGUUAAUAGAGAUAAUUGAGUGGAAGGAAAACUAGUUUCUGAUGUCACAAAAUGUCUCCUGU